Molecule: non-coding RNA, 184 nt
Organism: Vicia faba (fava bean)
Lineage: Eukaryota; Viridiplantae; Streptophyta; Magnoliopsida; Fabales; Fabaceae
Source: the annotation of a GenBank genome assembly
UUUACAAGAUUACGAAGUGACAAAAUUACACAAAUACAUGAAGUUCCUAAAGUCUAAACCAAUGCUAAACUUCAUCAUUCAUCUUCUUUGCCAAAACUCCAUGGAUCAUCUUCAUGCCUUAACCAAGCUUUCAACCAGACUUGAUAUGCUACUUCGCCAACUCCUGAUCUUCGUGCCCAUUUAA